RNAcentral lists this ribosomal RNA (492 nucleotides) under uncultured bacterium. RNAcentral describes it as "partial 16S ribosomal RNA". It matches the Rfam family "Bacterial small subunit ribosomal RNA", at positions 29 to 507 of the family's 1533-position model. The record is from RNAcentral.
AGUGAACGCUGGCGGUAGGCCUAACACAUGCAAGUCCAACGGCAGCACAGUAAGAGCUUGCUCUUACGGGUGGCGAGUGGCGGACGGGUGAGGAAUACAUCGGAAUCUACUUUUUCGUGGGGGAUAACGUAGGGAAACUUACGCUAAUACCGCAUACGACCUACGGGUGAAAGCAGGGGAUCUUCGGACCUUGCGCGAUUGAAUGAGCCGAUGCCGGAUUAGCUAGUUGGCGGGGUAAAGGCCCACCAAGGCGACGAUCCGUAGCUGGUCUGAGAGGAUGAUCAGCCACACUGGAACUGAGACACGGUCCAGACUCCUACGGGAGGCAGCAGUGGGGAAUAUUGGACAAAGGGCGCAAGCCUGAUCCAGCCAUACCGCGUGGGUGAAGAAGGCCUUCGGGUUGUAAAGCCCUUUUGUUGGGAAAGAAAAGCAGCAGGUUAAUACCCCGCUGUUCUGACGGUACCCAAAGAAUAAGCACCGGCUAACUUCGUG